GGCUCUGUAGUGAAAUUCAUAUUGAGUUGCAAGCUCAUUGAUGUACAUUGAAUGUACCAGAGUCU
Molecule: transfer RNA, 65 nt
Filed under: Centropus bengalensis (lesser coucal)
Lineage: Eukaryota; Metazoa; Chordata; Aves; Cuculiformes; Centropidae
Description: tRNA-Cys
Source: RNAcentral